Molecule: ribosomal RNA, 253 nt
Filed under: uncultured bacterium
Lineage: Bacteria
Description: partial 16S ribosomal RNA
Rfam family: Bacterial small subunit ribosomal RNA
Source: RNAcentral
UACGAAGGGGGCUAGCGUUGUUCGGAAUUACUGGGCGUAAAGCGUGCGCAGGCGGCUUCUCAAGUCAGGGGUGAAAGCCCAGAGCUCAACUCUGGAAUUGCCUUUGAGACUGAGUGGCUUGAGUACGGGAGAGGUGAGUGGAAUUCCCAGUGUAGAGGUGAAAUGCGUAGAGAUGUGGAGGAAUACCGAUGGCGAAGGCAGCCCCCUGGGCCAAUACUGACGCUCAUGCACGAAAGCGUGGGGAGCAAACAGG